RNAcentral lists this ribosomal RNA (252 nucleotides) under uncultured bacterium. Its description in RNAcentral is "partial 16S ribosomal RNA". It matches the Rfam family "Bacterial small subunit ribosomal RNA", at positions 524 to 776 of the family's 1533-position model. The record is from RNAcentral.
UACGUAGGGGGCAAGCGUUGUCCGGAAUUAUUGGGCGUAAAGCGCGCGCAGGCGGUCAUUUAAGUCUGGUGUUUAAUCCCGGGGCUCAACCCCGGGUCGCACUGGAAACUGGAUGACUUGAGUACAGAAGAGGAGAGUGGAAUUCCACGUGUAGCGGUGAAAUGCGUAGAUAUGUGGAGGAACACCAGUGGCGAAGGCGGCUUUCUGGCCUGCUCUUGACGCUGAGGCGCGAAAGCUAGGGUAGCAAACGGG